CGUUUCCUGUGGGCCAGAGGAAGGAGAAGAAGAAACUAUGUUGGGACAGAAGAAAGAGAAAAAUCAGGUUAGAAGGUGAAAAGUUAGGAAAAACACUAUGUUUAUUUAUGUAGAUAAGGUAGCUUGUUCGGGAGGGUUCCUCUCCUGGUCGCAGCAGGGGCCGGAGACCGCUGGCCGGCCGCUCGGGUUGCGGCCUCGUGGUGGUUGUGGGCGUCGGGGGUCGCGGGUCGGAAGGAUGUGCGAGUUCUCGUCCUCUGCUUGCGGGCGAGCCCUCCUCUUGGGCUCACGCGGGCGCGGUGGGACUCGGCGGUGGCCCCCUUCGAGGGCGGCGAGCGGCCGCUGCACGUCCUAGGGCGCUGGGGUUGCGGCGGCGAGACGGACGGAGGAGAGAGAGAUAAAGAAGGAAGGGAAGAAGAGACCAAGAGAGAGAGUAUAAAGAGAGAGAAGUGACAGGGCAUCGUCCUUGUCGGCGACCGCGAGCAGGGGCUGGUUGAGGCCACGGGACCGGAGUGGCGGUUUCGACCCUCGGUAGGGGUGGCCGGCCUAGACUACGCGUCGGUGGAGCGACAACGCGGCGGUAGUGGGGACGUUGCCUAGUAGGGCGGGAGGUGGAGAAAAAGCAGCCCCUCUGCUGCUUGAGCAGGAGCUCGCAACUGGCGCGCGGGCGCAAGCACCCGACGUAGGUGCCCGCUAGCUAGUGGCGGAGUACAUGCGGCGGCCCGCAGCCUGAUUAAAAGUAUUCGAAGUAAGUAUACACUGUAGUCCUUCGAAGUUUUUUGUCCUCUUCACGUUCUUUUGCAGCGGGGUUUGUUUAGCGUUGAACGGUCGGAGGCGUUGUCGGCAGUCUUGGUACCGAGUGUCUGCGGACGAGGCGCCUAGCCGCCUAGGAAGGGACCACGGUACGAAGUCGCCGAACACGACGAGCCAUAGGGAGCAGGUUUAUUAGCCAUACAGACAAGUUUUUUUUUUAGCCAUACACAGGAAGGACGCCGAUGUGGAAGUCCUAAAAGUGGCGGUGGUACGAAGCCUCCGAACGACAACAAGAACAGGAGAAACGACGACACGCGUUCGCGUGGAUGCGUAUAUACCAAGACCGGGUCCCUCGUGUUGAGAGAUUGAGACCGGGAAGACAGCAACUAGAUCUAUUCGUCGUCCUCAUAAAGUAUCUAGUGCCUGGGGUACAUCAGACUGCAAGUUCCUCCCUUAGACCGAGUCCUACGGACACAGGUAUAACAUGAAAACUAUAGACUGAAAGUAUAACAUGAUACUACUAGCACCUAGAACACACGUAUAACAUGAAAACUACUCGAUGUGAAAAUUCCUUAGACUAAAGUCCUCAGACUACCAGUCCAUUCACAAUUACACAAUAAAUCACAAUCAAAUCACGUCGACGAGGGGACUCCGGGACUGACCGAAGAAUCGAGGGAGAGGUGAAUGGACAGUCGACCCGCACAACUAAGCUAGAAAACUAGACCUUUUUAACUGUGUGAUCCUGCAUGUGUUUUUGAAAUUCCAAUCAAGCAUGUACUAACUUAGAAGAGGCACGUUUUUGACUGUUAUGUGUUUAACAUCGUUUUAGUUACUCCUCGACUUAGACGUCAGAAGGGAAUGGCGGGUCAUCAAGGGUUAAAUAAAAACCUAAAAAUAACAAUAAACCAUUCGUAUCGUGGACUAAAUGUCACUUCACGUAGAUAGUUAAAUUAACAAACUGGCAAUUAUGUGUCAUGUAGGCACAGGUACAGCAGUUGCACAACGAGCGGCUGGCAUGACAAGAGCUCUAGGCGGAACUUCUGCCACCUAGCCCGGAAGUCGUGUGUAGCAAGCAAUCGUAGAGGCGGACUACGAAGAUAUCCUUCUCUCUGGGGGUAUGAAUAUAAAAAUUAGGUGUACCUAUCAUGUUAAAAAAAAUUAGGUGUACCUAUCAAGACAUCUUUUUAACAAUAAAACAUCAGAAGAAUUGAACCGAUUACUUAUAGGUGAGAAGUAUACUGUUCUUCACGUACUUGAACCGAUUACAAAUCCCCGUAUUCGUACUAGUACAGUUUUCACGUAUGUUCGUAGUACAUUAAUACAAGAAUGUCUCUAUUGUAAGUCAAAUCAUUAGAGAGAACCGACUCCCUAAACUGAUGGGAAGUAGUCUCGCACAAUCUCGAUACCUAUGACUUGAGCGUUCUAAGGAAAAAACAUACAGGCGUCCCUUCACAACUGAUGAACUUGUACGACCUUUCACAACUGAUGAACCUCAUUGAACGUUCAUUGUCUACAAAACUGUUGUUAUUGACGAUGGUUACUCCUGGUGACCGUUCUAUAUCGUGUUGUUGGACCAGGGACAAGGCAUUUCCAACCGGACUAGGGACAACUUUAGUUAAACCGCACCAUGUAAUCAACAUAACAAGUGGGACGUACAAAAAAAAGUGAAAGGAUUUCAUACAAACUCAUAUCGAAUACCAAAUAAAUAUUCGAACACUCAAUUAAUUUCGAGUGAACCACCAAGAUUGAUUAAUAUGAUUUUAUACUGGUACUGGCUUUCUAUCUACCUCCAAGUCUACGUCUCACUUUCGGACGUGGUUGUUCAACAUCAACAUAUACCUUGGACCGCUGAACUACUAACGUCGCGUCGUCUGGUGAUUCCGAUCCGAGGAUUCGAACGAUUAAACCCGCAGACCUUGGAAUUCUUAUUUCCUGUCCGCAUGAGCCCGGCUCUAGUUGUCCGUGCCAGCACUACCCGUACAUGCUCACGCCGCCGGGUGACCUGCCUGUUCCCUGGUCCGACCUUCAACAAAAAGUAUAAACAAAUGAACAGUUUAUCAGGGUGGAACGAUAAAAUGUAAUUAAAAAUGGUCAAAUAUAUGUUAAAAAUCCAACAGUCCGUAGUUCUUCGACGAAACCUUUAAUUCGUUUCUUUAUUUCUUUCCUUUAUCUGUAAGAAACGUACUCUUUAUUUCUUCCUUCUACCAUUAAUACACCUCGGCCGUUCUUUCCAUUAUACAUAACUUAUUCUUUAUUUCUUCCUUCUUUUAGCUACCAUUAAUACACCCACGGUAUAAUUAGCGUACUCAUUAAUCGUCCGGAUCGUUUUUUCCUUUUUUAUUAACGUACUUUUUAUUUCUUCCUUCCUCUUUCUCUCUCCUUCCUUUACCUGCCAUUAAUACACCCGUAGUACUAUAUUCCUUUCUUUCUCUUUCUUUUUGAUUAAUUGUCCUCCACGCCCUUAGUUACCGUCCAACGGUACGGUAGAAUACUCAUUUUUACUACACCGUAAAAAAUUAGGAGUGAUUUAAGUACAGUAAAAAAAGAAGGUAAUACAAAAGGAACGAGAAUAUUAGAAAUGAUUUAAACGCGGUUUAAACAUCGUGUAACUUGUAAUACAAACGUGUAUGUUAGGAGUGAUUUAAAUACAGUUUACAAAGUUGGCAAGAUUGGGUGUCCGUAUAUAUCAUAAAAAUUAUAUAUUUACCUCCAUAUUAUAAUAACCAGGAGGGUAAAGCAUACAGGUACCACAAAGGAGUAUAACUCGAUCCGAUAAGAUGAUUAGCAGACAGAACCCGGUGAACCGGAGACGGUGCAAGCGGGCGCAUUACAAGGUGGUCAUUUUUCUUGGCCACGGGAGGGUUGUACAGGCACGCUGGACCGGGUUGUUUAGUUUGGGUGGUGGGGAAAAUCCUCUACUCCGUUUUUUAUCAACUGGCAAUGACCUUAUUUUGAGUGUUGGAGGUCACACAAAACCGCAACUAGCACAAUGGGAUGUCUUUUCACAACUAGUAAAAUUUUAUUUUAAUUUAAAUCAAAAACAAACCCAGGAAGUGCCUAACCAUGAUUUGAUUAUACUACAUUUUGGUCUAUUGUAUUUGUGUUCCGUGUUCAUAAAGUAACACAUCUACACCCAGUACACCGGCCCUAGAGUUUGCGCUCGCAAGCGACCAGACAGGUACGUCCACUACGUUAAGAAAUAACCAAGGUUCGAAUGCACCUUACAAGUGGCACAUCACCUGUAGCAAUGGCUGUUACUACUGUUUCUUUUCUUCACCAUUGUCCCUACCCCCGCGAUCCCCACUAUUAAAUAAAGAGGGCAACGUGAAAACGAUCAGAAUUAUUUCGUGCCUAACUGAAACAGCCUAAGUGGCAGUGUUACGCGAAAGAAACUUAAAUGCGAAAAUCAAAUUUAAAUUUUAUAUAUAGGCUCCACCAUGAUUAGAUAGCGCCCUCGGUUGCUAGCUAGCGAUCGAGCGGUGCGUCCUAACUGACGGUCUACCCGGAAACGAUGAUCUACCCGGCCGGUCUGACACAGGUUGAAAUGCAAAUGGAACACAGGUACGGGUUUUAUACGGCGGCCGGGGCUGAGGAGGUUGCGAGCGGCGGUACCGGCUCCUAUGCCAUGUGCUCGUGCCUCCGCCUACCCUAUCACACCAUUAACCGCGGAGGGUCGUCGUCUCUCGCGCUCUCUAAAUCAUCGACUGGUAGUGCGGUUCCCUACGUUCGUUGUUGCAGUGGGUUCACGGGUACUGCCGCUCACCCUACUCUUUCCCCGAUGUUUUCGCAGCCUCAACCUCCGCGCCACCGACCCUUUUCUCGGUCGCCCUCUGCCUCUCCGAGUGGCCUCCUGUGCGCGCCGCCGCGCCAGCGCACACUCCGCCGGCCGAUGUCCUCGCACGUCCGCCGCGAGCCCGUGACCGCUGCGGUACCAGAAGACCGCUCCGCCCGCUCGUGCAUGUACUUCCGGCGCCCCCCGUGCGACGGACCCGCUCUCCCCUCCGCGCUUCCUCCGCCAGCAGCGGCCACCGCCCCGGCCUACGCAGUCUACGCGCGCGAACGGACGUCAGUUGCGUCUGUCUGUAUCGCCGGUAGGUACCGUCGCUCGCCGAGGCCCCCGCCGCUGCCCCAACCCACCAAGUUCGCCGGCGAAGACGUCGAUGUACCCUCUGCAGGUCCUCACUAAAUCAUCCUACAGCUGGGAUUUGAUACCUUUCGUUCGUAGGUUACCUCUUCACAACAAGACUUUUUACCCAAGUAUUGAAAAGUAUACGAUUUGACUUUGGUACGUAUAAACUUAUCGUCCUAAUCUCCCCAAAAAAUAAGUCUUAGAUCUCAAACAGGCCGUAACGUAGUAGUUCAUUUUCUAACAUCAAACAUAAGGAGUACAGACGACGUGAACGUCCCAGUCUCAACCAACGGUAGGGGACCUGUCCCGCGAGAUCCCGCACAACCGCACGAACUCAUCUGCUUUGUGACUACAAUCGACGUUCCACCUCUUCCUUAUGGGGUACCUACCUAAAACCAUCGAGACUACUGUUGUCAAAGUUGAAUCAUUCAGUAUACGACUAUAAGUAUACUGACACUAGAGCCUUUAUUUUCAAGUAUCCUUUCAUUGUCUUUGGAAGUGACUUGUAUCUCAACACAACAUAGACAUGGCUCUUUUCAAACAUCUCAUACUUUUAUACAAAGCUCUGCUUUGUUUAAUACUAAUAAUCAGUAUCGUCAACAUCCUUGUCUACUUUUAACAUAACGGCCAAAAUCGUCCACACGACCACGAGUGUACGAAUAGGUAACACUAUACCCAAACGUCCAGGUUUCCGUGUCGUAUGAUACGAGUACGUAUACACUGUAUUUGGUUAAGAUGUAAUACGUCGAGUGUUUGUGAUGUUUUAAUGAUCCCGAUCCUCUAAACACGUGAAUACUUCCAAAAACCUGUGCUUCCAAAACUUAAAAGUGAUAAUUCGAAGUUUCUACAAUGUAGAUAAUUGGACAUGAGUAUAAUCCGGUUGCAACAGGUUAUAACGACCCCCUAAAAGGGAAAAAAAUGUUUAGUAUUAGUCAGACAUUGGACCCGCACAUGCUUUCAACAGACGUGAAAAAAGACAAAUUAGACCCGCAGGUUAGAAACAUUCGACCCGAAAUGGACAUGAAAUAGUAUGCCUUUGGUUAAUUUACUUUUGACAAACUAAGUUACAAACGGUCAGACACAAAUUAAGAGACAAACGAGGGACAAACUAAGUUUAGGUA
Molecule: ribosomal RNA, 6000 nt
Filed under: Triticum aestivum (bread wheat)
Lineage: Eukaryota; Viridiplantae; Streptophyta; Magnoliopsida; Poales; Poaceae
Description: partial small subunit ribosomal RNA
Source: RNAcentral